GAGGCACUAACUAUCCUCGAGUGAGAGUGUUACGGAUUUUAUGUUGGCAUAUUUUGUGAUGUUAGUCGGAGUCUUGGAUGUUUGAAGAAGAAGAGAUGAAGAUCGAAGACUCGAAGACUCAAAACAUGAAUCCAUAAUGCUCGGUAAGUUUAAAUACCAUUGAUGAUGAUUUAUAAAUGUUUGAAAGUGUUUGGAAAAUUUAGGAUGAUUUUUAAAAUAUGAAACUGGACAAAUUGAGUUUUUCAAUGUGCUGGGACAGGUCCCCAAAG
Molecule: long non-coding RNA, 269 nt
Filed under: Ananas comosus (pineapple)
Lineage: Eukaryota; Viridiplantae; Streptophyta; Magnoliopsida; Poales; Bromeliaceae
Description: long non-coding RNA (ACOM_LNC030362)
Source: RNAcentral